UACGGGGGGGGCAAGCGUUGUUCGGAAUUACUGGGCGUAAAGGGCUCGUAGGUGGCCAACUAAGUCAUACGUGAAAUCCCUCGGCUUAACCGGGGAACUGCGUCUGAUACUGGAUGGCUUGAGUUUGGGAGAGGGACGCGGAAUUCCAGGUGUAGCGGUGAAAUGCGUAGAUAUCUGGAGGAACACCGGUGGCGAAGGCGGCAUCCUGGACCAACACUGACGCUGAGUGAGCGAAAGCCAGGGGAGCAAACGGG
RNAcentral lists this ribosomal RNA (254 nucleotides) under uncultured bacterium. RNAcentral's name for it is "partial 16S ribosomal RNA". It matches the Rfam family "Bacterial small subunit ribosomal RNA", at positions 524 to 776 of the family's 1533-position model. The record is from RNAcentral.